GAGAAGGUCAAAAAUUUUGGACAUGGACAAGGUAUUAGUGAAAAACUAGCAGAAAUCAAGGCCAGAUUGAAGGCUGCGACAGACCCAACAGUGAUCAGGGCUGAGGUGUGU
Molecule: non-coding RNA, 111 nt
Filed under: Bigelowiella natans
Lineage: Eukaryota; Cercozoa; Chlorarachniophyceae
Source: RNAcentral